GAAAAAAUAAUAAGAAAGAUUUGCCAAGGAUGUUUUCAUUUAGGGAGAACGAAAGUAGGGGGAUCGAAGACGAUCAGAUACCGUCGUAGUCUCUACCGUAAACUAUGCCGACCAGGGAUCCAGAGAGUUUGCAUGGAUGACUCCCCGGGCACCUUKUKAGUUUUCAUAAGUGUUUGGGUUUUGGGGGGAGUAUGGUCGCAAGGCUGAAACUAAAGAAUGACGGAAGCCACAACAAAAUGUC
Molecule: ribosomal RNA, 241 nt
Filed under: uncultured amoeba
Lineage: Eukaryota
Description: partial 18S ribosomal RNA
Rfam family: Eukaryotic small subunit ribosomal RNA
Source: RNAcentral